RNAcentral lists this ribosomal RNA (274 nucleotides) under uncultured bacterium. Its description in RNAcentral is "partial 16S ribosomal RNA". It matches the Rfam family "Bacterial small subunit ribosomal RNA", at positions 523 to 796 of the family's 1533-position model. The record is from RNAcentral.
AUACGAACCGGACAAACGUUAUUCGGAAUUAUUGGGCUUAAAGGGUGCGUAGGCGGCGCGGUAAGUGAGGUGUGAAAGCCCACGACUCAAUCGUGGAAUUGCGCUUCAUACUGCCGUGCUAGAGGGAGACAGAGGUAAGCGGAACUGAUGGUGGAGCGGUGAAAUGCGUUGAUAUUAUCAGGAACACCGGUGGCGAAGGCGGCUUACUGGGUCUCUUCUGACGCUGAGGCACGAAAGCUAGGGUAGCGAACGGGAUUAGAUACCCCAGUAGUCC